GUGAGGAAUAUUGGUCAAUGGGCGGAAGCCUGAACCAGCCAUGCCGCGUGCAGGACGACGGCCCUACGGGUUGUAAACUGCUUUUCCGGGGGAAGAAUAACCCCCCUGCGGGGGGGGAUGCCGGUACCCCGGGAAUAAGGAUCGGCUAACUCCGUGCCAGCAGCCGCGGUAAUACGGAGGAUCCUAGCGUUAUCCGGAUUUACUGGGUUUAAAGGGUGCGUAGGCGGGCGCUUAAGUCCGCGGUGAAAGUCUGCGGCUCAACCGUAGGAGUGCCGUGGAUACUGGGGCUCUGGGAUUCGGUCGGGGCGGGCGGAAUGCGUGGGGUAGCGGUGAAAUGCAUAGAUAUCACGCAGAACGCCGAUAGCGAAGGCAGCUCGCCGGGCCGACAUCGACGCUGAGGCACGAAAGCGUGGGGAUCAAACA
This 423-nucleotide ribosomal RNA is filed under the name uncultured bacterium. RNAcentral describes it as "bacterial SSU rRNA". It matches the Rfam family "Bacterial small subunit ribosomal RNA", at positions 354 to 774 of the family's 1533-position model. The record is from RNAcentral.